This 74-nucleotide transfer RNA is filed under the name bacterium. RNAcentral's name for it is "tRNA-Ile". It matches the Rfam family "tRNA". From Rfam's summary of the family: Transfer RNA (tRNA) molecules are approximately 80 nucleotides in length. Their secondary structure includes four short double-helical elements and three loops (D, anti-codon, and T loops). The record is from RNAcentral.
GGGCCAGUAGCUUAGUGGUUUAAAGCCCCGAGCUUAUAUCUCGGUGAUCGGUGGUUCAAAUCCACCCUGGCCCA